GAUGAACGCUGGCGGCGUGCUUAACACAUGCAAGUCGAACGGAAAGGCCCUGCUUGCCGGGUACUCGAGUGGCGAACGGGUGAGUAACACGUGGGUGAUCUGCCCUGCACUUCGGGAUAAGCCUGGGAAACUGGGUCUAAUACCGGAUAGGAGCCAUUUUUAGUGUGAUGGUUGGAAAGUUUUUUCGGUGUAGGAUGAGCUCGCGGCCUAUCAGCUUGUUGGUGGGGUAAUGGCCUACCAAGGCGGCGACGGGUAGCCGGCCUGGGAGGGUGGACGGCCACAUUGGGACUGAGAUACGGCCCAGACUCCUACGGGAGGCAACAGUGGGGAAUAUUGCACAAUGGGCGCAAGCCUGAUGCAGCGACGCCGCGUGGGGGAUGACGGCCUUCGGGUUGGAAACUCCUUUCGCUAGGGACGAAGCUUUUUGUGACGGUACCUAGAUAAGAAGCACCGGCUAACUACGUG
This 465-nucleotide ribosomal RNA is filed under the name uncultured bacterium. RNAcentral's name for it is "partial 16S ribosomal RNA". It matches the Rfam family "Bacterial small subunit ribosomal RNA", at positions 28 to 507 of the family's 1533-position model. The record is from RNAcentral.